UACGUAGGGUGCGAGCGUUAAUCGGAAUUACUGGGCGUAAAGGGUGCGUAGGUGGCCUUUUAAGUUGGAUGUGAAAUACCCGGGCUUAACCUGGGGGGUGCAUCUAAUACUGGAGGGCUAGAGUGCAGGAGAGGAAAGCGGAAUUCCUAGUGUAGCGGUGAAAUGCGUAGAUAUUAAGAGGAACACCAGUGGCGAAGGCGGCUUUCUGGACUGUAACUGACACUGAGGCACGAAAGCGUGGGGAGCAAACAGGAUUAGAUACCCUGGUAGUCCACGCGGUAAACGAUGAAUACUAGGUGUAGGGGGUAUCAACUCCCCCUGUGCCGGAGCUAACGCAAUAAGUAUUCCGCCUGGGGAGUACGGCCGCAAGGUUGAA
This 376-nucleotide ribosomal RNA is filed under the name uncultured bacterium. RNAcentral's name for it is "bacterial SSU rRNA". It matches the Rfam family "Bacterial small subunit ribosomal RNA", at positions 524 to 898 of the family's 1533-position model. The record is from RNAcentral.